This 253-nucleotide ribosomal RNA is filed under the name uncultured bacterium. Its description in RNAcentral is "partial 16S ribosomal RNA". It matches the Rfam family "Bacterial small subunit ribosomal RNA", at positions 524 to 776 of the family's 1533-position model. The record is from RNAcentral.
UACGUAGGGGGCCAGCGUUGUUCGGAAUUACUGGGUGUAAAGGGUUCGUAGGCGGUGCGGCAAGUUGGGAGUGAAAUCUCUGGGCUUAACUCAGAGGCUGCUUUCAAAACUGCUGUGCUGGAGUGUGGGAGAGGCGCGUGGAAUUGCAGGUGUAGCGGUGAAAUGCGUAGAUAUCUGCAGGAACACCCGUGGCGAAAGCGGCGCGCUGGACCAUAACUGACGCUGAGGAACGAAAGCUAGGGGAGCAAACAGG